Molecule: long non-coding RNA, 1792 nt
Organism: Mus musculus (house mouse)
Lineage: Eukaryota; Metazoa; Chordata; Mammalia; Rodentia; Muridae
Product: predicted gene, 36190
Exons: 3
Source: RefSeq, a predicted model, not a curated record
UCCUCUGCUAUAUCUGCGGCUGGAAACAUGGGGUCCCUCUAUGUGUACUCUUUGGUUGGUGAUAAUAUGAUAUCUUCAUACUCUGUAGUCUCUCCUGCCCUCCUUCCGACCAUGCAGACAUAUCUCUGGAUAAUGCAAGCUUUCUCUCAACUCCUGAGCAUUUGAAAUACUGCUCCAUCUGCUUGGGACUCUUUCACUGGACACCUUCACCUGACCACGUCCUCUUCAACCACAAGGCUUAACUUAGAGACAACUUCCUCCAGUGGGACAGCCACACAGGCAUAUUAUUGUGCAUCUCCCAAGAGACAAUGAUGUCGAGAGUGACAUCAGCCCACCAUGAAGAGCGAGAAGACUGGGUCUUCUUCACGUCUGUGUAACAGAACAUACUUGCCAGGCAGUGGUGGUGCACGCCUUUAAUCCCAGCACUUGGGAGGCAGAGGCAGAGUGAAAUUGCCUUUGGAAAAGUACAGACAUUUUCCCCCCUCGUGUGAAGGGGGAGGAAGAUCUUGGAAGAAUUCUGCCUGAGACUUGAGCCUGGGAGGGGUAUUUCUCUGUGGAAGCCGCUCACCUAGCAGGUGCAAGACCCUGAGUUUAAUCCCCAGCACCGCCAGAGGGAAUGCGGAAGUCUCCUAAACCAGAUCCAAGGCUCCCUCUUAGCCCUAACAUUUUUUAAAAUCAGGUUAUAAAACAGUCACUAUUAUGGAAAGUAGCAUUGCUUGUGACUUAGACAUUCUUCAUUCUGUUUUUCUACAUUUUCCAAAUCUCUCCACGAACAUGUGUUGCUUUUUAAUGAGAAAGGAAACAUUGCUGUUUUAAAAGCCAAUCUGUACAUUACAAUCCCAUAAAGCUAUAAAACAUACAAGUAUAUCUAGACACACACGUACACAUAAAUCUUGUAAGUAUGUUAUAUAUGUCUAUAGUUAUAAGUCCACAAGAAAAGCACGAGGAGGCUCAGCAUCAAAAUAUUAGCAAGGAUAAUCUCUGCGUGUGGUAAGUCUCUAAAUGAUUACAAUUGCCUUCUAUUUGCUAAAGUAUCUAUAUCUAUAUCUAUAUCUAUAAUAAACAUGGUUUAUGUGAUGGUUACCCUGUCAACUUGAGAAUCACCUGGGAGGGGCUAUCUGAUUAGGUUCAUUGAUGAAGACCCACCUUUACUGUGGGUGGGACCGUUCCCUGGGCAGGAAUCCUGGACCCUAUAAAAUGGAGAGAACUCACUAAGCAGACACACUCAUCACACUCUGCCUCCCGACUAUGGAUGUAAUGUGACCAUCUACGCCCAACUCCUGUUGCUGCCAUGACUUCCUGCCAUGGUGGGCUGCAACCUCUCACAGUGAGUCAAAACAAGACAAAACAAAACAAAACAAAAAAGCCUUUUGUCCUUUGAGUUGACUCUACCACUGCAACAGGAAAGUAAGAUAGCUAAUAAUCAGAAUAAUAUUUUUAAUAAUUUGAGGCCUUUUCCAUGUCAGCAUCAGAAUUCUCUUAUCUGUCAGUAUUGUUUAAAGCCAUUUUUCUUUUUAUUCUCCACCCCCCUCCACCAAAAGCUAAUCUUGUUUUUCUGUCAUGUUGUACCACAGCAUUUUACAUCUCCCGUGGAGGACUGAAACCUGAGGGGCUUCCUGAAAAGCUGCCAGAUGAAGCCUCGGGUUCAGGGUCUGGCUGCAAUCAUGUUCUAAAUAAAGACUAGAAACACACGCUGCCCUUCAUUACAUAACAGCUGAGCUCUUGCUAAUGCAUGGCACUCUUCUCUCUAAAUUACCGACUCCCUGUGCAUCAGAAUCAAUUCCCCCUUCUU